Molecule: long non-coding RNA, 4250 nt
Organism: Brassica napus (rape)
Lineage: Eukaryota; Viridiplantae; Streptophyta; Magnoliopsida; Brassicales; Brassicaceae
Exons: 2
Source: RefSeq, a predicted model, not a curated record
GAUCUUGGCAAACUAACUUAUUAUCUUGGUAUUGAAGUACGACAAACCGACAAUGGCAUAGUGCUGACACAAGACAUAUAUGCACAAAAGAUUCUUGAAGAAGCUGGUAUGCAUAGAUGCAAUCUCGUUCACAUACCUAUGGACGUGAAUAUAAGACUCUCCAAGUCACCUCACGAGACUAACAUUGACGAGAGAGAGUACAGACAUAGCAUUGGCUGCCUUCGAUAUCUACUACACACACGGCCUGAUCUAUCAUUUAGUGUUGGCUUACUCAGUAGAUAUAUGUGUGAACCUAAGGAAACACACGAAGCGGCCCUAAAGCAAGUCUUUCGUUACUUGCGUGGUAAUACUUCAUACGGCUUACACUUCAAGAGAGCAUCAAAGCAAGAGCUGAUGGGAUUUCGUGAUAGCUCUCAUAAUGUUGAUGACGAUGACGGAAAGAGCAUGACCGGUCAUAUCACUACAAAAAAAGUCUCCAUUAAUAGCACAUUGUUAUAGCACGUUUUACUGAACUGCUAUUGUAGAUGAGCAAAAAAUUAUCGUACUAUAUAAUAGCAUUAGAUAAACGUUAUUAUAGAGUGAAAUGUAAAAUAGCGCUUAGUUAGUGCUAUUUUUAAAAUUAAGUGAGCGGGAAGUUAAAAUUACUGAUUCCGCCAAUAAUUAGCAGAAAAUUAUACUUAAGCGCCGAAACAUUAUUUAAGCAGUUUCAGUAAUACUAUCAGAAAAAUAUUAUAGCAUUUUUCUAACGCUAAGAAAAGCUAUUUGAUCCCCUAAACCCUAAACAUGGUUUUAAACCCUAAACUCUAAAAACAACCUUUAAAACUCUAAUAUUUUCAUAUUAUAACUUCAAAAUUUAAUCUUCUUAAUCUUAAACUAUAAUUUUCUAACACAAAUCUUUACUCUUUAAUCAAACUUUAUAUCCUAAAUCCUAACUUCAAACAUAAAUUAUACAUUCAAUACUCUAAAUAUAAACUUCAAACUUUAUAUCAUAGAAUACUAAACUUUGUUUUAAAACACUAAACUUUAUUUAUAUAACUUAUAUCAUAAAACACUAAGUUUAUUUUAUAUUUCAAACCUAAUAUCUAAGCUUCUAACCCAAAUUAUUUUCUAACUCUUACUUACAAAAGUAACAAAAUAUUAAAGCUUCAAACCUUUAUUAAAUUUAUAAUUUCAAACUUUUCAAAAAACCUUAACUUCAUACACUAUAUCCAAACUUUAACCUCAUAUCCUAAAUUUAAACUCAAAAUUUAAUCUUAUAUCCAAACUUUAACCUCAUAUCUUAAAUUUAACCCUAAUAUUUCAUACUUUAACCUCAUAUCUUAAAUUUAAACUCAAAAUUUUUCUUUUUAUUUUAAACUAUAAAUCCCAUCCUCCGAAUUUUAAACCCUCUAUCAUAAACAUAACUUUAAAGUUUUAAUUUUAAUAUUUUAAUUUUCAUAUUAGAAAAAUUCAAAAGCUUGAUAUAUAAAUUUUACAUUAUCUAACAUAUAAAUUAAAUAGAACUGUAAAUCAAAAUUUUAUAUAACUUUACCAAAGAUAAAAAAUCAAUUAACAAAGAAAAUUGUCAUGGACCAAUGAUAUCAAAGUACUCAGAUCACAACCUCCACCAUUGGAUUAGAUUAAUCCAACAGACCAAAUCUAAUCCCUCUUUAUCUUUCUCUUUCUCUUUCCUCUCUAUUUUCUUCGUCUACGACAUUCACUCUCUUCACUCACGAAUCUGCUCACUUCUUCUUCUUUCUUUUCUCUUUAUCUCUUUGGUUCACUCAUGUCUCUGCACAUCUCUCUCUAUCUCUAUCAAAAUUUUCUUUUAAUUUCAUCUCCUUUUCACCACCACCACCGCCGGCCUUCAUGUUCGUCACCACCAUGCUCUUUUGAUUUCGUCGCGUUCUUCACCACCGUCACGCUCAUCACCAACACCACAGAUCUGAGAAGGAACAGUGAUGAAACAGAAUGGAGAAGUAUUGGUGUGACAGAGCGGCAUCUCCGGUUAAGCGUGGUGCGGCAGCGGUGCAAAGCCGGUAGCUUGUUGCUGGUUCGUGGACGGUGGCUGAAGCUUUGUGAAGGUGGCGAUGAUGGCUGAAGCUUUGUGAAGAUGGCGAUGGUGGCUGAAGCGUCUAUUAGGUUUAGAUUUAGGUUUAGUUAAUCAAUUGGUUUAGUUAGGUUUACAUUAAUUAAUUGGUUUAAUUAGGAUUAGAGUAAUAUAUUUAUGUAUUAUUGGUUAAGUUUUGUAAACCGGGAUUAAUUUGUAAACCAAUUUUAAUAUAUAAAUAAAAUUUAUUUUAAUUUCAAUAUAAAACAAUUUUCUGUUUAAUAUUAAAUUAUUUUAUUUCGAAUUAUAAUUAAUUUUUGUUUAUUGUAGAAAGAUCUAUCAUAGCACGAAUAUAUAAAUCGUAAUCAAUUUGUAACAAAAAAAUAGUGUUAUAUUUAAGUUAAUAACAUCAUUCAAAUAUUGCUAUCGUAUCUGCAUAUUUCAUAGCAUUUAAAAAAAUGUUAUCGUAGAAGGGGUACCUAUAAUGGCUGCCGAUGACAUAGCAUUUCAACUUUCGCUAUGAAAGCUCUAUUAUAGCGUUUAUCGUGUGCUAAGAAUGUGCAUAUUUCUUGUAGUGUAUCUUUUACUUUGGUGAUAGUCCCAUAACAUGGUGUUCUCAGAAACAAGAAAUUGUGGCAUUGUCAUCGUGUGAAAGGGAAUUUAUGGCGGCCACGGAAGCAGCAAAACAUGCAAUAUGGCUCCAGGAGCUCUUGAGUGAAACCAUUGGUGAUGAAUGCAAGAAGGUAGUCGUUCAAGUUGACAACAAAUCCGCAAUUGCACUAACAAAGAAUCCAGUGUUUCAUGGUAGAAGCAAACACAUCCAUAGAAGGUUUCAUUUUAUACGAGAAUGUGUUGAGAAUGGACAAAUUGAAGUAGAGCAUGUAUCGCGGAAUGAACAUAGAGCUGAUAUACUUACGAAAGCUCUCAGUCGAAACCGUUUUAAAGAAAUGAGAGAACUCAUUGGAGUUCUAGACAUGUGUGAAGAUGAAGUCAAGCUUAAGCGGGAGAAUGUUGGAAUAAGCUUGAAGUAACUUGAGAUGGAAGCUACCUAAUCCUAGAUAAUAUGGAAGUUUGUAAGGAUUAGGAAAUAAUGAUUUACUAGUUUUUGACCCGCGCUUUAAAAGCGCGGGUUUAUUUUUCUCUUAAUAUUUAUUAUAAAAUUUGGAAAAUUUUGUGACAUGUAAUAUGUUCAUGUAUUUUUUUUAUGAUAUUAAUUUAUUUUUAUUUUAUUCCUCAGUAUUUAUAUAUAUAAAAUUGAACUUGAUUAAAAAAAAAACUUAAAGUGGUAUUUUUUCAAUCAAUCUUCAUUUAUAUGUACCGACUUUUUCAAAGAGUUUUUUUUAACAGAUGUAACUUGUGAAUAAACUAUUAUUAUAUUAUUUUAAAAAAGUUUUACUUAUAUUGAGAAAAAGAAAUAUUAAUAAAUAUGUGUGAAUGUUUAUUAAUAUAAAUAUUAGAACGUGGCCCAAAUGGUCCAAACGAAAAUAUUUGUACCGACAAAACUCGGCCCAAUAUAAAACUCGACCCAAAUGAAAUAUUUUUCCAACAAAACGAACUUCCGUGUGCUGAUCUUGGCCCAAAAUAAUUGGGAAGUAUUUUGGUCAUAACUUGCAAGAUAUUUUACCAUUAGUUUGGCCCAAUCAAUAUUUUAUGUAAAUAUCCAUUUUAAGUAUUUUAUGUAGAUAAAACCCAUGGUAAAAUAAAUAUUUUUGUUUUCUACCGACAAAACUAUCGGUCUUUGAUCAUCACGUUAAAAAAACAGUAAAGGAAAGAUAAUUGUUUUGUCCGAGACGUUUCUUUUUCGGUAAUAUUGUCUUGAGGUUCACCUCUGAAAUGACGAUUGAGAUGCGAUUCAAAGCUCCAAAACACAAAUCCAUGGUGGUAAUGACGGAAUCAAGGUUGCUUGAAGAGGUGAACAGGUUCUACCGCAAAUGAAAGAGCAACCGAUUAAUCUGAUUUGGAUCAAAGUCAAACCGACGGUUCAGCACACGGAAGAUCCACCAAGUGCUUCAACAUUUUCCGAUCUAUUUAGGUGAUAUGCCUCUAACUUUUUCUUUAUGUUAAAACUAAAGUGUUUAGAAAAUAUUGAAAGUGUGAUGUCUAUAUAGUGAGACAUAUGAUGAAUGAAUCAACUCACGGAUUGUAUGUGUGAUUAAGCUUUAGGUUUGAGUUGUAUUGCUAAAGCUUUGAUUGAUUAAUAAGAGAAUGACUUAUUGUUAAA